Small nucleolar RNA from Cannabis sativa, 86 nucleotides. RefSeq annotates it as small nucleolar RNA U31b. The transcript has a single exon. NCBI's taxonomy places the organism in Eukaryota, Viridiplantae, Streptophyta, Magnoliopsida, Rosales, Cannabaceae. The record is from RefSeq and is a predicted model, not a curated record.
CGAAGUGAUGAUUGUAAUUUUGUCGCCCCAGUCUUACUUGCAAUUUUUCUGAUUGCUAGGUGGUGAUUGACAUUCAUAUCUGAUCU